CCUAAAGUAACAUUAAACAUUUAUGUGUGUACAGCUUUAACGGAGUAAGGACAAAAUGUAUUGUUAUUUUGUCAUAGCCGUUCUAUUAGUCUGAUGAUAUUAACUGAUGAAUACAAAUACUAAAUUCAAUUCGCUGUCAAAAUGACUUUGACGUUUAUUUUCGCGGUAGUUAAAAGAUGGUUUCUUUCACAUAAAUAUAUGGAAAUUUGUUGACGUUUGUACUUUUUGGUAAAAAAUUUAGUAUGUGGCUAUAAUUAAUUACAUUUAAUUCACUAUAGAAGGCGUCAAACUGAUGAAGAAUGAUGGCCACAAAUUUAACCACCGAAGAUGUAGUCGUGCAGUUGACUAGUCCACAAAUUAUUACCACAUGUCCGGUGGGCGAUACAGUAGUCCGUUCUGGUGUGACGGGUGUGACAGCGGGCUCGGGGGGGUCCGGG
Bombyx mandarina (wild silkworm) is the source of this 437-nucleotide long non-coding RNA. The record is from RefSeq and is a predicted model, not a curated record. Lineage: Eukaryota; Metazoa; Arthropoda; Insecta; Lepidoptera; Bombycidae.